RNAcentral lists this long non-coding RNA (2562 nucleotides) under Nicotiana tabacum (common tobacco). RNAcentral describes it as "long non-coding RNA (NTAB_LNC002968)". The record is from RNAcentral. Lineage: Eukaryota; Viridiplantae; Streptophyta; Magnoliopsida; Solanales; Solanaceae.
CACAUGCUUACAGUUGCAUCUUAACAAAUUUAACUCUUUUAUUUCUAUGUUGAGUUGCUAAAAUUCUAAGCUCUUAAAGACAAUAAAAGCAACAUACUGGAUUAGUCUUUUGCUCUAUUUCAAAUGUUUUAUGUUCCUAGGUUCUUAUGUUGCUCUAUUAGAAACUCACCAGAUUCAAUGUUUUUUGGUACUCACAUCACUUAUUUGUAAUAGUCUAUGUCCUAUUAUGUUGUUUAUUCAUGAAUUAUUUAUUCAUGGAUACUUCCUCUAUCUCUCCAAGAAAUGGUAGAAAAUAUCCUUUAAACCAGCACUAAGGCAUCUAUUAUGUUUUACUAAUUACUUUUUAAUUCUAAACUAACUAGAGAUAUCUAAAUUUUAUAUAUUCAUCUAUUCUGUUUCACUAUUAGUUCAAGAAUGUUAAAUUCUUGCAUUAAUAUUAGGUGUAGUUGAUAGAGUUUUUUCAUUAGCUAUCCAAAGUGAAAGACACUACUAUGAAUCCUUAUUCAUGAGUUACAGUUGAAGUUUUUUUUCUGUAAUUUCUCCUAUUUAAUGAAAUCCAUGAAGUGAUAUUAUGUCCAACUAUAAGUUGUCCCUAUAUCAUUUACACUAUAACUAUUUCUUUCCUAUAAGUUGUCCCUUUCCAUGAAGUGAUAUUAUGAAAUCCAUUUUACAAAAUGAAGACGAAACCAAUCAAUAAAAAUAGUUGUCUAUUGGUUACUCAUUCCUCCACAACUCCAUGUGAUAUACCUAAUGCCUGCUAUUUCAUUACAUCUAUCUUGAAAAGCAAUAAUUAAAUUACAAGAACAUGAUCAAACAAAAUCUCAAUAAUCAAGUAUGACAAACAAAACUAGAGAAACAUGUUCUGGUGGUAAGAAUACCAAGAUUGUCACAAUACAAAUCAGAUUCUAUAACAGAAAACCUUAUUUAAAAGGACUUUAUCUGCUCUACAAGCAAGAAUUUCGAGCAGCAAACAAGUGGUCCUAGGUCAUAGUUCACCAAUAUGAAAGCAGCGCAGCUGUAGCACUAGACAUAUCCCUAUCAUCCACUGGGUUAAAACGUUAAUAAUACAAGUGAAAAAAAACUACCUGACAUAGCAAAAAGAGGAGGACAAACUGUCAUGUUACAAAAGCUGGAUUCAGUCUUCACAAGCAAAUGUCACAUGUUAUAACAUCAUGUCUCAACUUUUGAGGCAACCCCUUUGUUUGCAUACUGGCAGAGAAAGGCAAACAAAUACUAACUGAAAGUGUUUUUUGUUUCAAAAAAGGUUGAAAAGCUUUUGCACUAAAAAGUUUUUCAAAUUUUCCUAAAAGUGAAUCACUUCUUUCUAAUAGAGUUGGCCUUUUCCUACUUUGGUGACUCGAAUCCACAAUCUUAUGGUUGGAGGUGGAGGAUCUUUAUAAUUCAUUUGUCCCUCCCUGUUGAGAAUGCAAAUCUAAACAGUCAUUGUUAGGCAAGUAAACAAGAAAAGGAAGAAAGCACAGAGAUAAGAACAGUGGUCUGACAAAUCUUUGGCUUUAAUAUAGCCCAAGAAUUGAUACAUUGAAACUACAUUAGUUCGAGGUGAGUGCUUAAGUAUAAUAUGAGUAAUAUAAGUUCCCAUAUAGCAGUAGAUACUCUAGGAUAUUUUAAGAAUGAGACGGUUGAACUAUCAGUUUGAUAAAAACAUAAAGAGAAGCCAACACCGACAUCAAAUGCUUAAGCACUUUAGAUCAGAACUGCUUUUAUGCGCUGGAAAAUAGCUGACUUUUUCAGAGUCAUUGGCCAUAAAUUUAGACAGAGCCAAUAAGUUUAAAACCUACAGAAGGAAAAUAAACACAGUUCGCCUCAAAAUUGACUGUUACUUUGUACAAGUUCAACACCGGAAAGAUUCAUUGAAGCAUUAAGCAGAAGCCAAAAACAGCAUCAAGGAAAACAUGGGAUGCUAAAAAAUUUCAACAAGCAGAAAAGAAUACCAAUGUAAUAGAGAAAAAGAGAAAGAAAUAAAAUUACAUCAAACCAAACUAAUCAAAUAUUAAGAAACAAUAUUGAAAUCAAAAAGCACAAGAAAUAAACCAAUAUUGAAAGCGUAAUUCUAACAACACCUAGGUGAAGAAAAAGAAUGAGAUUAACAUACCUCUCAGAAUAAUCAGAAGACAUGCAACAACAAUCUCCCUUUUUUAAGAACCUCUACAAUCAAGAAUCGCGUUUGUUUCACGAAACCUAGCUUCGUUUGGACAGCUUCUUCGACUCGACCAUAAAAUUGAUUUUCAAAUUUGGGUAUUUUGGUCUAUCUUUGAGAUGAAUCUAUAGGGAAACGGAGGAUUUUAAGAUGAAUCUAUUUCUGAAUUUGGAUUUUAGGAGUUAAAGAGAGGAUUUUGAGGAAUGAAUUUUGAGAGGAAAAAAUGGUGGAAAUGGGUCUCGUUCUGAAAAUCGAGUGCAGGUGAGUUUGCUGGGAAAAGGGGAAAUAAAGAUUAGUUUUAAGUUUUAUAUUAUUAAAAUUAAUCAAAAAUAAAAAAUAAAAAAUGGGGUUCAUUUGGUGGGUUUACCAAAUUAUUGGGGGGAAAGUGAAGAGGGAAUGAAAAC